RNAcentral lists this long non-coding RNA (2281 nucleotides) under Lynx canadensis (Canada lynx). RNAcentral's name for it is "lncRNA (ENSLCNG00005014809.1)". The record is from RNAcentral. Lineage: Eukaryota; Metazoa; Chordata; Mammalia; Carnivora; Felidae.
AUGACCCCAUGGUGGAUCCACCUGGAAACAGACCUGCUAAUGAGCGGAGACAGAGCUGGCACAACCCCAAGGGAAGCCUGUCGGGCCAGCUCCCCUGGAGGUGCUAAGGGUGUGUGGUCUGAGACUGGGAGAGCUGGGAAGUACGGCCUGGGAUCCGUCUGGGAAAACCACAGCGAGAUCUUAUGCCUCUCCAUCCGCAUCUGCCUGCUCUGCGGGGUCAGGAGACAACAGAGCGGGGGAAGGGGCCACGAGGUUGAGAACGAAAGGCAGGAUGGAGCUUCCCAUUCCAGCCUCUGCUCCAAACUGCUGGUGACCUUGACCAAGCUGUCAAAGCUUUCUGGGCCUCAGUGUCCCCAUCUUUCAGGAAGGGAUACCAAAAUCAUUCCUGCCAUCUCCCCACUUUCCCAGGGUGUUGAGAGGAUAAGGGAGGAUUUUUUGUUUUCCAGCAGGAGCCUCCGUGCCUUGGGGACAGAGUGGAGCGGAAUGUCCAGUGUAGUUCACAGUCCUGCCUUCCACCCUCCCACUCGUCCCUCCACUGGGAAAUCUAAAUAUAUUUCUAGGGAACCUCAUUCCUCCCGCCCUGGUUUCCUUUCCAGGGCAUGCCUGGGAAAGCUCUCAGAACUUGGGAGUAAAGGCUGCUGUAGGGACGUGCCUGAGUGCUUCUCCUCUCUGACCCUGGGCUUUGGUCCCCAGGAGGGCUGAUCACAGUCCGGAGGCCCAGGGGCUGAGAUGGCCCAGAGAGACAAAAGGUGUGGCAGUGACAAGGAGGGUGAGAAAUGCAGUAAGGUCAGUGGUGGGGUGGGGUUGGGGGCCCCCACAGAGAGACGGGGAGUAAACAGCCCAGCCACUGUCCCCAGGUCCACCUGGCUGAGGCUGAAGGCAGGGCUCCGGGGCUCUGAGGCGGGUCAGCUUCGGCUCCGGCCAGCCUGGGGUGGGGCAGCAGUGACAAGACUCCUCGACAACAGGAUAAAUAAUCUUCAGCUGCAACAAUAAAGAUCAAUUAUGACCUAAUCGCCCAGCCCAGUUCCAAAGGCCCGGGGGGUGGGUCUCUUUCGGCCUGUCCCUCCAGGUUUAAUUACCUGAAGAGUCUUUGGACUUUGGGAGACCCAAAAGCCAAAGAAGAUCUGCAAUAAUUAAGCCAGGGAAUGGCCUUCACCAAAGACGUGUCUGUGGGCAUGGGGCAGCGGGCAGAGGGCAUGGUAGGUCCCCCCUGGGUGCAGGUGUGUGGGGCGGGCGUGGGGUGGGGACGGAGAACAGAAGCAGAGGAAGGGAGGCAGUGAGGCAGAGAGCUCCGAGGUCAGGGAGGAAACCCGAGUGAGCCUGAGGCAUUCUCCGCCCCGUGAGGCAGGAACACGGGGAAGCCGCCCUCUGAGGACCCCUCUCACCCGGGAGUCCCCUCCAGUGUUCAUGGCACAUUUGCAAAUGCUGGAAUGGUUGGCAGUAUCCUUGAAGGGACUCAAACGGCUCAGAACAACACUAACCAAGCCAGCGUGGUUGUCGCACUCACCGCUGCAGUACACAAAGACGCGGGGUCCAAGAAAGCACCUGCCCUUGUCUCCCACUCGCCCUGACUUGUCAGCCUUGGGGUACAGCUGUCUCUCUCUGACACCAGCCUGGCAAAGCUCUACCUGGCAUUACGGCUGUACCCUGCUUGGUACCAGCUGACACAACGUGCCCAGCUCGACGUGCCACAUGAUACACAUCACCGAUGGGAUCUGCAUCUCUCUUCCACCGUGUUGGCCCCUGGAUUCUUGACCAGCCCCUUCGGCAUCACAGCUCCUGAGAGGACAAUGGAAGCCACCAUUUUACAGAUGGGGCAUGUGAGUGUUCGUUUUCUAUCCAGAGGUGGCUCUUUGGACUCCCGUGUGCUUUCUAAAUGAAUUUUCACAUUGUUUUUUUUGCUAGUUGGGUGUACCUUUUUGGGGGAGGGGGGGCGUAUACCUUUUGUUUCGUUUUUAAACUAGGCUUCAUGCCAGGCGUGGAGCCCAGGGUGAGGCUUGAACUCACAACCCUGAGAUCAAGACCUGAGCCGAGAGCCAAGAGUCGGAAGCUCGAGCGACUGAGCCACCAGGUACCCCGGGUAUGCCUUUAUAAUGACGGUUUUACAUUGUGUCCCCGCAUCCUAUCACCGCCAUGACGGAGGCUCACCCUGGUUAAGUUGUGUGCCCAAGCAGCCCGCUGGGGAGAGAAGACAGAAGACAAGCUGCCUGUGAGCAUGAGACCCAUCCCCCACUCUCGCACGGAGGUGCUGCUGUGUUUUAAAAUCACCUUGGUGGAUUUA